UCAGGUAUCGGCAACCAUCUUGCUUGACGCCCUGACAGGAACUGCACCAGGCCAGGAAGUGAGGAAGCGGAAGUGGGGACCGGCCUGGGCCCUUGAGCCUGGCUGGAGUAGGUGGAAUAUCCUAGGGAGAGGAGGUUUGGUCGUUGGGCAGCGGCCGACUUUCCUCUCAGAGGCUUUCCUGAGGUCCAGCCUUCCCCUCCACUGCCGGUUCUCCUAGGGUAAUCGCUGGUCUGAUUCUCUGUGUGGCCGAACGCCCAGCACCUGGCUCAUCUGGUACACAGUCGUCAUCUGAAAUGGGGGUUGUAUGAAUGAAGACGAGGAUGCCGAGGAAAGGCCCUGCCCACAGAAAGUUGAUUCCUGCUCAGCCUCCACCCGCCAUUUUCAAAAUUCUUUCCAAAGCAUCUCGUUUCUUCCUCCCCCACGGCCCUGUCUGGCGAUUAUUCUUUGUGUUGCG
RNAcentral lists this small RNA (454 nucleotides) under Pan troglodytes (chimpanzee). RNAcentral describes it as "processed transcript". Lineage: Eukaryota; Metazoa; Chordata; Mammalia; Primates; Hominidae. The record is from RNAcentral.